This 369-nucleotide ribosomal RNA is filed under the name uncultured phototrophic eukaryote. Its description in RNAcentral is "SSU rRNA". It matches the Rfam family "Bacterial small subunit ribosomal RNA", at positions 524 to 896 of the family's 1533-position model. The record is from RNAcentral.
UACGGGGGAUGCAAGCGUUAUCCGGAAUCAUUGGGCGUAAAGCGCCUGUAGGUUGUUUAAUAAGUCUGUUGUUAAAGACUAGGGCUCAACCCUAGAAAAGCAAUGGAAACUACUAGACUAGAGUAUGGCAGGGGUAGAGGGAAUUUCUAGUGUAGCGGUGAAAUGCGUAGAUAUUAGAAAGAACACCAGUGGCGAAAGCGCUCUACUGGACCAUUACUGACACUCAGAGGCGAAAGCUAGGGUAGCAAAAGGGAUUAGAUACCCCUGUAGUCCUAGCCGUAAACGAUGGAUACUAAACAUUGCGUGCUCGCCGUGGUGUUAUAGCUAACGCGUUAAGUAUCCCGCCUGGGGAGUAUGCUCGCAAGGGUG